This 408-nucleotide ribosomal RNA is filed under the name uncultured bacterium. Its description in RNAcentral is "partial 16S ribosomal RNA". It matches the Rfam family "Bacterial small subunit ribosomal RNA", at positions 28 to 526 of the family's 1533-position model. The record is from RNAcentral.
GACGAACGCUGGCGGCGUGCUUAACACAUGCAAGUCGAACGAAGUGGCGAACGGGUGAGUAACGCGUAAUCAACCUGCCCUUCAGAGGGGGACAACAGUUGGAAACGACUGCUAAUACCGCAUACUGAAGGAGGGGCUUGCGUGUGAUUAGCUAGUUGGAGGGGUAACGGCCCACCAAGGCGAUGAUCAGUAGGCGGUCUGAGAGGAUGAACGGGCACAAUGGGACUGAGAAACGGCCCAGACUCCUAAGGGAGGCAGCAGGGGGGAAACUUCCGCAAUGGACGAAAGUCUGACGGAGCAACGCCGCGUGAGUGAAGAAGGGUUUCGGAUCGUAAAGCUCUGUUGUUAAGGAAGCGGUACUUAACCAGAAAGGGACGGCUAACUACGUGCCAGCAGCCGCGGUAAUAC